UUUUAUGAUGGAAUUUUCGAAUCGACGAUCAGCUCCGUUAGACUUGAUUUAGCGUAUUUUGAAGUUUUUAGAAAAUAAUUUUUGCGAUUUUUCGAUAUCGUUUACCUAGCAAUCGAAAUGAUUCAAAACCAACAAUUUUAACGACUGAAAAUAAAAAUUCUAUAAAAAGUGAUGAUAUAGCACUAAAAUUUUCGAUCAGAAAUAUUGAACUUGUUGUAGAUAGUAUAAUGAAUUUUGUAUCAAAAUUUCAUCUGAUUUGAAUACUUCUACAUCGUUAAACUUGAAAACGGCAGAUAUCAACCAUUAAAAAUUAUUGAUUUUGAAUCCUUUCGAUCACUAGGUAAAUGAUAUUAAAAAAUCGUAAAAAUUAUUUUCUAGAAACUUCAAAUACCCUAGAUCAAGUUUAACGGAGCCGAUCGUCGAUUCGAAAAUUCCAUCAUCGAAAACGGCUUAGGAGCACGGAGGCCUCCGUGCUCCUGAGAGCACAGCAGGCUUGCUCUAUAUAUAUAUAUAUA
RNAcentral lists this long non-coding RNA (515 nucleotides) under Ananas comosus (pineapple). Its description in RNAcentral is "long non-coding RNA (ACOM_LNC007799)". Lineage: Eukaryota; Viridiplantae; Streptophyta; Magnoliopsida; Poales; Bromeliaceae. The record is from RNAcentral.